AGAAUCAACGCUGGCGGCGUGCCUAACACAUGCAAGUCGAACGAGAAAGUGGAGCAAUCCAUGAGUAAAGUGGCGACCGGGUGAGUAACACGUGACUAACCUACCUUCGAGUGGGGGAUAACCUCGGGAAACCGAGGCUAAUACCGCAUAACAUCGCAAGAUCAAAGCAGCAAUGCGCUGGAAGAGGGGGUCGCGGCUGAUUAGCUAGUUGGCGGGGUAACGGCCCACCAAGGCGAAGAUCGGUAGCCGGCCUGAGAGGGCGCACGGCCACACUGGAACUGAAACACGGUCCAGACUCCUACGGGAGGCAGCAGUGGGGAAUAUUGGACAAUGGGCGCAAGCCUGAUCCAGCCAUGCCGCGUGAGUGAUGAAGGCCCUAGGGUUGUAAAGCUCUUUUGUGCGGGAAGAUAAUGACGGUACCGCAAGAAUAAGCCCCGGCUAACUUCGCGCCAGCAGCCGC
This 460-nucleotide ribosomal RNA is filed under the name uncultured bacterium. Its description in RNAcentral is "SSU rRNA". It matches the Rfam family "Bacterial small subunit ribosomal RNA", at positions 26 to 518 of the family's 1533-position model. The record is from RNAcentral.